RNAcentral lists this ribosomal RNA (432 nucleotides) under uncultured bacterium. RNAcentral describes it as "partial 16S ribosomal RNA". It matches the Rfam family "Bacterial small subunit ribosomal RNA", at positions 29 to 507 of the family's 1533-position model. The record is from RNAcentral.
ACGAACGCUGGCGGCAUGCCUCACACAUGCAAGUCGAACGCGACCUUCGGGUCUAGUGGCGCACGGGUGCGUAACGCGUGGGAACCUGCCCUUAGGUUCGGAAUAACUCCCCGAAAGGGGUGCUAAUACCGGAUAAUGUCUUCGGACCAAAGAUUUAUCGCCUUUGGAUGGGCCCGCGUUGGAUUAGCUAGUUGGUAGGGUAAAAGCCUACCAAGGCGACGAUCCAUAGCUGGUCUGAGAGGAUGAUCAGCCACACUGGGACUGAGACACGGCCCAGACUCCUACGGGAGGCAGCAGUGGGGAAUAUUGGACAAUGGGCGAAAGCCUGAUCCAGCAAUGCCGCGCGAGUGAUGAAGGCCUUAGGGUUGUAAAGCUCUUUUACCCGGGAUGAUAAUGACAGUACCGGGAGAAUAAGCUCCGGCUAACUCCGUG